This 174-nucleotide ribosomal RNA is filed under the name uncultured bacterium. RNAcentral's name for it is "partial 16S ribosomal RNA". It matches the Rfam family "Bacterial small subunit ribosomal RNA", at positions 338 to 524 of the family's 1533-position model. The record is from RNAcentral.
CCUACGGGAGGCAGCAGUGGGGAAUUUUGCACAAUGCCCGAAAGCCUGAUGCAGCGACGCCGCGUGAGGGAUGACGGCCUUCGGGUUGUAAACCUCUUUCAGCAGGGAAGAAGCGAAAGUGACGGUACCUGCAGAAGAAGCACCGGCUAACUACGUGCCAGCAGCCGCGGUAAU